This is a long non-coding RNA of Neopsephotus bourkii (Bourke's parrot), 701 nucleotides long. RefSeq lists it as uncharacterized. The transcript has 3 exons. Lineage: Eukaryota; Metazoa; Chordata; Aves; Psittaciformes; Psittacidae. The record is from RefSeq and is a predicted model, not a curated record.
GAUGCUGUGUACAACCAUGAACAUGGGUGCUCGGUUUGCCAUGAAUGAGGUUGGUUAAGUUCUUUGGCUUGUUUCUGAAUGGGGUAUUUUAUCUGUCCACAGGAUUUCCUCGCCCAGUAUGGAGUCUUAAAGUAGAAAGGAAAAUAGAUGCUGCUUUCUGAAGCCUAAGGUGCUCUGUGGCAGUGCUGGAGCCGCAUGCAGCACAGUGACCUUACAGGAGCUAAGUCGGAGCUCUUGGGGAGGUGCUGAUGCCAGUAAGAGCGAUUCAAGUGACUGACAGGGCAGGUGAUGCACACAGAGAAGGAGCAUCCCACAGCACAGCUACAGAACUGAGCACUUCCCCCGUGAAACCACCUGAGAGCUUCGGUGCUUUCGUACACAUCCUGUAAGGAACACAUGUCUUCGGAAGGCAAAGCUGCAACAAACAGAAAGCAGAGGGGCUCUGGGUCUUGAGCCCCAAACUACUGCAGGAUUGAGGGCCCAGGGGCAGAUCUCAAGGCAGGAUUAACAGAGCUGAGAACGUGCACCAAACCAAGUAAAACUUUGAACAAAACAGGAUUAGAGUUUGCUGCUAUAAAUGAGGAAAAAGGAAGAUGACAACUUAAGAGGCUUGGACUCCUGCACCACCUAAACUGAAGCCGGUGCCUCACUGCCCUCUGAAACCCGUUGCACCCCGCUGCAGAUGACACCCCCCUGCCACA